This is a long non-coding RNA of Coturnix japonica (Japanese quail), 3142 nucleotides long. The record is from Ensembl. Lineage: Eukaryota; Metazoa; Chordata; Aves; Galliformes; Phasianidae.
CGUUCAGCAACAUCCAAGGCCAGCUGGACAGCAUUUACCUCUGCAAACUGUCAUGAUUCUCCUUUACCUUCAGUGGCCUAUGCAACUAUUUGUGCAGGGCUCCACACAGCAGCUUUCCAUCUGUGAUGCUUUCCCAGAAUACAACAUGAUUUAUCAGUGAAAAGAGCAGAUUUUAUUUUCUGGUAGUUCACAAUAUGGUGGGACCUCUUUAGCACGUGAUACUUCUUCUGCUGGUGAUGUUCUAAACCUUUUGCCUUCAGGCCAGUCCAUGAUCACCUCUAGCAUCCCUGGAUGGCUGAGGUUCCCCAUCCAAGCUCACUGUGUAAUCAGCACAAUCCACUUACUCCAAGAGGCAUCAUUGGCAUGAUGCGUGGAGGGAAUCUUUCCUUUAAACAAAGGGGGAAAAUGUUCCCUUUGGUUAAAAAAAAAAAAGUAUAAAUCAAUCAAAGACAGACCUACUGAGAAUGGGAAGGGACCCCACUGGAAGAGCAAACAUUGGGGAAGGGCAUGCAGCAGCAGGACGGCCAUCAUUGCCUUGUUUCAUGGGCUCUCCAAAGCGGGAGCACGGCACAGGGCCUGGGAUUCAGUCCGUCCUGGUGAGAGGCACAGGCUUUGCGUGGCCCUGCACAGGGCCGGGUCUUAGUGCUGGGGUGGGCUGGAUAUGACCCUGCUGGGCUAAGCUGACUGAGCUGUGCCACACCCCGCUGUUCUUGCAUCACAAACGUUGCCAUAGACCCCAGCUGGUGACAUGGCAAUCCACAUCACAAAGGGGACAACCCAACAUUUGGGCGGAGUGAGGCUGGGCACCACUUUGCCCAUGAGGUGACUGAAGAGAGGAGCUCGAUUGCUUGGCUCUCUGCAUGUCACAGGCAUGGAUACUUUCUGGGGAAUCUGCUUCUUCCUCAGACUGGAGGAUGUUAUCCUCUAUUGUAUGCUCUGGAUCACGCUGAUCCUAUCGUUGCUUGUAUUCAUUUUGACUUUGUGGAAGUGGAAGGGUGGGAGGCCAAGGUGGUACUGCUGCAGAGACAACGUGGAGAAUAACAGAGGUGAGAAGCAUGGGCAAGGAGAGGUGCCCUGCAAAGACACCCCCUGGGGACCCACAUGCCCGUGGCUCCAUCAGGGAGGGUCUCUCCAUCCGUUCACUCUCUGUCUUCUACCAACAGCUGCGGACCUCCACAAUGCUCUACAGUACUCAAGGACACACUCUUCCACAAUACCAGAUAUGGCAGAUAUACGUGCAGCAUUCCGUCAAAUGCAGAGAAGACUUAAGAUACUACACAGACGCUUGCAAAUUGCAAUCAUGGAGAUGUCAGAAGACGCCAAUGACUCCUCUUGCAGUGACAGCUCUCUCACUUCCAUGAAGGCAGCAGAAAACUCCAGCUCUUCGAGGGAGUCUCUUGAUGUGAGGGGGAACAAGUCCCUCACCUCCAAUAUGGCAGUGGGAGCCCGCAGCUCCUCAGAGGUCUCCCUGUCCUCAAGGAGUGAUGAGUCCCUCACGCCUGUCGAGACAAUGGGAGCUGUGUGCUCUUCAAGGGCCUCUCCAUCCUGGAACGACAGCUCCCUUGCUGACGAUGCAGCAACAGAAGCUGGCUGCUCUUCGAGAGCCCUUCUGGCCCUUCCCAGGGAAGGCUACUGUACUUCUGUCAGUGCGCAUGAAGGCAGCUGCAUGGAACAGCUAACCCUGAGCACUCCUCCUUUGCUUGGAGCAGCUUCGGGUCAUGCUGCCACGGUCCAGCCGGACCUCAUGCUUUCGGAUGCACUUGAGCCCCAAGAAGCGCAGGAAAGCUCAGCCCCUCAGAUGGAGGUGGUGCCCAGAGUGUGGAAGCCGCUGCUCCUGGAUGAGGCUGUGAAAAGGCAGCUGGAGCAGCACCUGGUAAAACUGCAGAUACAGCGGUGCUUUGGGCUACCAGAGAAGGUUCUGGCCUCCUACAAGAAGUUCUCAGAGACCAAUCAGGAGCCACAAGACUGCCAUCCUUCUCCACACAGCAACAAUGUGGAGCCCUACCGCUCGCCCUUCCUGUGCUGGAACAGGCACGCUCGCACCAGGAAGAGAGCAGUGAAGCCCCCUGGCUCAAAGAAAAAGUCCAUAGCCCCUGUGAAAAAGUGCACAAGAGGAACACAGAUGCCUGCCUACUCUCUGUCAGCUUUCAUGAUAGUGGCAGAAGAGUAUCCUCAGGAAGAUCUGGUGAAAUCCCAGAUGAGCAGGAUACAUAGCAGAACAGUUAGAAGCAGCAGAAAAGCCAGAAAGAAGAUCUGUCCUGUCAGCUUCACAGAGGAGAAGGGCACUGUGACAGAAGAGGAUGAUCUUGGUCCCUCCUUUUCCAUCCUGAAAGAGCAGACAGUGCCACAGAUCGAGGGAGCUCCUCUGCAGAAGGCAGGACAGGACACUGAGAUCCCCACCGUGCCCAGCGGGGGCAACACAGGGGUCCAGGAGCUGUCACAAGGCAGGACUGCUCCUGCAGGAAAUAAUGCACCACAGAUAGAAGAGGCUUUGAGUAAGGACACUGCCACAGCUGUGCCACCACCUCAACACCAUGAAGGGACCAGCCUGGAAGAGACACUCAGAGCACUUACAGACUUCUACAGGGUCGGCACAAGGGCUGAAAACCAGGUGAACCAGCUGCUGGCUUCCUGGCUGGAGCAGUCCCAGGACGAUGCUGGGCACAGAAGUUCAGAGCCAGCAGCUGACUGUCCCAUUGCCACGCUGUGCAGAACACAGAAAGACACACAGAAUGGUAAGGGACUCAGGCAGGACAGAGUGAGGCCCAGAAGGCUCUGCCCCAAGUGCUGCGAAGCCCAAGGACGUGGUGUGCUUGGCAGAGAAGGCACCUGGACUUCAGCUCCACUUGCAAGUGCAGCAGCAGGCACAGGAGGGGACGAGGCAGUGGGCGAGAAACAUCCAUCUGGGGAAAGGGCCAAAAAUCAAGGCCAGAAUCAGACUGCUGAUGCUGUCCAGCAGCCAAUGAGGGCUCGUAUCUACAGAUACUUUGUAUCAAUCACUACAGUCCAGCAGAGAUGUCAGUUUCAGCCACGGACAGGCUCAGUUGACAGGCACACAUCUUUGCAAGCUGCUGCUAUGGUGAUCCCCUUCCUCCUUUGCAGGCAAAGCCCUAUGUUCCAAAAUCAGGAAGAAGGGAAGUGA